Numida meleagris (helmeted guineafowl) is the source of this 988-nucleotide long non-coding RNA. RefSeq lists it as uncharacterized. The transcript has 3 exons. NCBI's taxonomy places the organism in Eukaryota, Metazoa, Chordata, Aves, Galliformes, Numididae. The record is from RefSeq and is a predicted model, not a curated record.
GUGAGGGGUAAUUAGUGCAGCUGAAGGGCAGUAAGGGCAUGUGGGGUGGGUAAAGGGGCCAUGUAGGGGUAAUUAGUGUGGCAGGGGAGGUGAUAAGGGCAUGUGGGGUGGGUAAUUAGUACAGCUGAGGGGUAGUUACUGAAGAUGAGGAGUAAUUAGCGUAGCUGCGGUGGGUAAUUAGUGCAGCUAGAGGGCGGUAGGUGAAUGUGGAGUAGGUAAUUAGUGCAGCUAAAGGGUAAUUAGGGCAGCUGGGGGGAGCAAUUUGGGGAUGUGGGGUAAUUAGUGCAGCCAGGGGUGGGUAAUAUGGGCAUGUGGGGUGGGUAAUUAGUGCAGCUGAGGGGUAAUUAGUGAAGUGGGGGUGGGGUGGGGGAGUGGUAAAUAAUGCCACGGAGGCAAUACCUGCUAUUGGCUGGGGUAAUUAAUGCUGUGGGGGUAAGUAGUGCAGUGGGGUAAUUAGCGAAUGUGUAGGGAAAUGGGACCCAGGGCAGCACGGGGUGAGAUCCCGCUGUGGGCGGGGCGGGGUUGGAGCCGGUCCUCGUGGAGGUCUUUCCCAUUGGCGCUGGGUUGGGGACGCGCGGUGGUUGGUGUCUUCCCAGGGGACGUCGCGGUGCUGCGCACGAGGAGGGCUCGCAGAGGUUAGGAAGGAUCCGCAAUGAGCCACGGUGUCCCCGGGCCAGCCCGGCCCCGCAAGCCCAGACAGACAAACGGACGGGUGGACACAUGGAUGCAGCCAAGGAGCCACCCGGCUCCAGCAUGCGUCUCCCGGGCAGCUCCCAGAGGCAGCGCCUUAUCUGAUCGCAGCGCUUGGAACGGGGGAGAGCAGAGGGCUUUGAAGGCAGCGCAGGAGCCCGCGGAGACACUAAAAUGGAGAGGGGACGCAAUCAGAGAACACAAACAUGAGCAGAACUGCAGCUCCAGCAAUACGAUGGCCAAACCUCUGGCUCUCAGAGCUCGUCCCACUGCAUACAGAACGUGGAAGAGAAGGAAA